GUUGUGAUUCUGUUUGCAAUGGAAUUUGUUUAAAAUGUUAUUGCUUGCCUUUCUUUACUGGUGGGGAAUGAUGGAUUUAAUUGUUUCUGGUCCCCCUCUCUUCUUUUUUUUUAAGUCACCUUCCUUCACCAUUCGCCCUUUAACCAUGUCAUUUGCUAUAAAGUAAAAAGUGACAGCUUUCACAUUGAUUUAGGAACAGUGAUUU
Molecule: long non-coding RNA, 205 nt
Filed under: Bos taurus (domestic cattle)
Lineage: Eukaryota; Metazoa; Chordata; Mammalia; Artiodactyla; Bovidae
Description: long non-coding RNA NONBTAT000759
Source: RNAcentral